UACAGAGGUCUCAAGCGUUGUUCGGAUUCAUUGGGCGUAAAGGGUGCGUAGGCGGCGCGGUAAGUCGGGUGUGAAAUUUCGAGGCUUAACUUCGAAACUGCAUUCGAUACUGCCGUGCUAGAGGACUGGAGAGGAGACUGGAAUUUACGGUGUAGCGGUGAAAUGCGCAGAUAUCGUAAGGAAGACCAGUGGCGAAGGCGGGUCUCUGGACAGUUCCUGACGCUGAGGCACGAAGGUCAGGGGAGCAAACGGG
Molecule: ribosomal RNA, 253 nt
Filed under: uncultured bacterium
Lineage: Bacteria
Description: partial 16S ribosomal RNA
Rfam family: Bacterial small subunit ribosomal RNA
Source: RNAcentral